RNAcentral lists this ribosomal RNA (253 nucleotides) under uncultured bacterium. RNAcentral describes it as "partial 16S ribosomal RNA". It matches the Rfam family "Bacterial small subunit ribosomal RNA", at positions 524 to 776 of the family's 1533-position model. The record is from RNAcentral.
UACGAAGGACCCGAGCGUUGUCCGGAUUUAUUGGGCUUAAAGGGUGCGUAGGCGGAUUUAUAAGUCAGUGGUGAAAGCCUGUAGCUUAACUAUAGAAUUGCCAUUGAUACUGUAAGUCUUGAGUAUAGUUGAGGUGGGCGGAAUGUGCAGUGUAGCGGUGAAAUGCUUAAAUAUUGCACAGAACACCGAUUGCGAAGGCAGCUCGCUAAACUAUAACUGACGCUGAGGCACGAAAGUGUGGGUAGCAAACAGG